RNAcentral lists this ribosomal RNA (142 nucleotides) under Paragonimus westermani. RNAcentral's name for it is "partial 5.8S ribosomal RNA". It matches the Rfam family "5.8S ribosomal RNA". From Rfam's summary of the family: 5.8S ribosomal RNA (5.8S rRNA) is a component of the large subunit of the eukaryotic ribosome. It is transcribed by RNA polymerase I as part of the 45S precursor that also contains 18S and 28S rRNA. The record is from RNAcentral. Lineage: Eukaryota; Metazoa; Platyhelminthes; Trematoda; Plagiorchiida; Troglotrematidae.
UGUGAGUACAACUCUGUGCGGUGGAUCACUCGGCUCGUGUGUCGAUGAAGAGCGCAGCCAACUGUGUGAAUUAAUGCGAACUGCAUACUGCUUUGAACAUCGACAUUUCGAACGCAUCUAGAAAUCCAUAUGACUAGUAGAU